Molecule: ribosomal RNA, 488 nt
Filed under: uncultured bacterium
Lineage: Bacteria
Description: partial 16S ribosomal RNA
Rfam family: Bacterial small subunit ribosomal RNA
Source: RNAcentral
GACGAACGCUGGCGGCGUGCUUAACACAUGCAAGUCGAACGGAAAGGCCCUGCUUUUGUGGGGUGCUCGAGUGGCGAACGGGUGAGUAACACGUGAGUAACCUGCCCUUGACUUUGGGAUAACUUCAGGAAACUGGGGCUAAUACCGGAUAGGAGCUCCUGCUGCAUGGUGGGGGUUGGAAAGUUUCGGCGGUUGGGGAUGGACUCGCGGCGUAUCAGCUAGUUGGUGGGGUAGUGGGCUACCAAGGCUUUGACGGGUAGCCGGCCUGAGAGGAUGACCGGCCACAUGAGAACUGAGACACGGUCCAGACUCCUAAGGGAGGCAGCAGUGGGGAAUAUUGGACAGUGGGCGCAAGCCUGAUACAGCCAGACCGCGUGGGUGAAGAAGGCGUUCGGGUUGUAAAGCCGUUUUGUUGGGAAAGAAAAGCAGCAGCUUAAUACCCCGCUGUUCUGACGGUACCCAAAGAAUAAGCACCGGCUAACUUCGUG